CGGGUUUUUAUUUUUUUAAUAUAUUUUUAAACUAUUUAAGGAUAUUGAAGUACAAUUUAUUUACAUGUUUUUAGGUUGUUACAAUCUUUGACGGACAUAGGAUAGUCCGACUCCUUCCCAUUCUAGAAAUUUAUAAUAUCUUAAUUGUACUAAAGCCCUAAAAACACAAUAUCCGAAAAAACGGAUCGUAUUGUAACGGGUACUCUGAUGUACUUGUCGAUCUGAUUUUGUAAGCAAAAUCUAUUUUUUUUUGCACAAAUGAAACAUUAUUAUUGAUUAUUCUUAUUACUUUUUAUAACUUGUGCAAUUUGUUUUCAAAAUUGUAUAACUUGUGCAAUUUUUUAUUUUAGAUGAAUUUGGACUAAUAAUAUAUGUACCACUUGUUUUGUUAUGAUUUUUUUUCUAAAUUUUAAAACAUAUUGAAAAUUUUAAUUCAAAAAAAAUUAUAUGAAAUGUUAUUAAUAAUAAAUUUUUUUUCUGAUAAUUAUAUUCUCUAACUAUUUAUAUGGGACUAAACUAAUUAAGAUAAUAAUAUAUAUAUAAAAUAGUGUUUUUUUAAUAUUUAAAAUUUCAGUUAUGGAGUUUUAAUUUUUUCACAAAAAAACAACAACCAUAAGAUGCUAUAUAAAAUAUAGUAUUCAUUAACUUUCUUUAUAUAAAAAAUGUAAAUGUCAAUUAUUUACAAAAUUGGGCUAUACCAUAAACUUCCUAAAUUAUUUACACAUUACAUUAAAUCUGGCCCAUAUAAAAAUUGUAAUCAAUGUCCAUUAGCCCAACUAAUUACUCCGGGAAAGGGUUUGUUAUCUAACAUGCUAAUAAAAAACUAAAACAAUUUUUUUUUUUGCUUCUUUUUUCUCGAUCUGUCGCUGCCUCUCUCUCUUUCUUAACUCUUUGUCUUCUUCGUGUUCUUCAAUCCUUCAAACACCUAACUCAAAUACAGAAUCUGAACUACUUUGAUUUCAUGUUCACUCUCAAUCCAGAUUAAAUACAAUCGAUCUAUUGUAUUACAGGUUGAUGCAACAUAUAAAAUGGAGCUUUCUUUGAAACAUCAUCUCCACCAUGUUUCAUCUCCGCCAUGUAACUGAUUCUGACAAUAAGCAGAUAAGUAUAAAUUUUUUAUGUUUGUUUGUUCUGUAAAAUCUCAUUUAUUAUCCUUCUUUCUCAAUUCAUUGUGUUUGUUUGUUCUGUAAAAUGUUUGAGAAUAAUUUAUAUGUUUUAUUUGAUUUAUGAGGAAAACGAAGAUUCAAUCCUGAAUUCUAACAAUUCCCUAUACGCAUUUGUCGUAGAGAACAAAGACCAGACUCGAGAUGACCAAUUCCAUAUACGCAUUUGUCGACCAACUGGAACAAAACAAUGGUUAGUAAAUUCUACUUUUUAAUUUUUGAUAUUACGUGAAUGAAUUAUCUAUUGGUUUAUUAGUUUCAUUGUAUUGAUUUAAAUUAUUUGAAACGGGUUUGGGUAUCUAUUGAAAAAAGUACAUAUAUGAUGUGGAGUGUAUACCUCUGUAUUCGCUGAUUUUUGAAAACCUUAUCAAGCAUAUAAUACUUUCAUCAUUAGCUUCUUCCACCGAUUCAAAUUGCUCAGCAUAUUUUCCCAAUAAGCAACAUGCCACUUCAUGACCACUGAGAGAGAUACCAAAAUUUAUUGAAACUUAGGAUACAAAAUGUUAAAAUAAUUAUUAAAAGCUAUUACUAAAACUACCUUGUAUCACGCAAACGGAAAAGAACUAUUUUUGUGUCAUUUCCCUUAGCUUGGACCAUAGCUACUGGUCCAAGAUCAGUAACAUGUCCCAUGAUAUUUGUUUUAAUAACAAAUAAAGAUUUACUUUAUUAUAAUAGUUAACAACUAUAUAUAUACAAAAAGUAAAAAUCGUUAUGUACACAUACCAAUUAGAAAAUGGGGUUUCAGCUUUCCAUUACCAAUCUCCUCGUAGUUAGCUAGAUUAAGGAAGUGAUUAUCAUUCCGAUAAUCAGAAGGGGUUAUUGAUGUGUCUCCUAUGAUUGUCAUCUUGUACUGCUGCGUCUUAGGUCGAUAUUGACCCACUCCUACCCCAGUUAUUUUCACGGUGUCAAUGACCUUCCAUUCACCAACACGUAGUUUGGUCAACCAGGACGCACUCAAGAAUAUCUCUUCCAUAGCUGGUGGUUUGUUUCCAGGAAUGAAGCAGUUUCAGAGUGAGACGCCAUUCAUCUCUGAACAGUUUGAGAUCCUUAAUAAGACAUAUUUUUCUUUCGUUUGACAUGUUUGCUGUGAGACCUCGAUGCUAAAGUCUUUGAAUGUAGUCUCAGUAUAUAUAGAUGGGUGAUGAAAUAUAGGUUAAGCUGUAUUUAUGGCGAGGAUAUAUGUAUCAUCGAUAUUUUUUCCUUUCUGUUUUUGACGAAAUCAUAUAUAUUGUAAUAUAUGUUAUUCAAACUUAGAUACUA
Brassica rapa (field mustard) is the source of this 2423-nucleotide long non-coding RNA. RefSeq lists it as uncharacterized. The record is from RefSeq and is a predicted model, not a curated record. NCBI's taxonomy places the organism in Eukaryota, Viridiplantae, Streptophyta, Magnoliopsida, Brassicales, Brassicaceae.